This 24-nucleotide non-coding RNA is filed under the name Arabidopsis thaliana (thale cress). Lineage: Eukaryota; Viridiplantae; Streptophyta; Magnoliopsida; Brassicales; Brassicaceae. The record is from RNAcentral.
AGACCGCUGUACAGAUAUAGACCG